Small nuclear RNA from Ochlerotatus camptorhynchus, 81 nucleotides. The record is from RefSeq and is a predicted model, not a curated record. NCBI's taxonomy places the organism in Eukaryota, Metazoa, Arthropoda, Insecta, Diptera, Culicidae.
GUGUCUUUUGAAAGGAGAGCAGGUUAGCACUCCCCUUGACAAGGAUGGAACACACAUUGGGCCGGGAUGGCACAAAAUUCU